UUGCAAAGGGAAUGAAAGUAAAAAUUGUCUUAGAAAACAGUGACUUUAAAAACUUCACCCCUUCUCUAAGCAAUACCUACAUUUCAUUUCUCUCAUUCCGUUUCUUUGUCUCUUUUUGUUUAUUUUUCUUCUUCUCAUUUGGUUUCACCUACAUGCGCGUCACACCCUCUUCUGAAAAUGGGGUGGCUGCACUCCCUCUUCUCUCCUCUUAAGAAGAUGUGGUUUCGCCUCCAUUCCGGUCCGAAGAAAACAGGAAGAGGAAUUUACAUUCUGUAUGAGGAUGUAAAAUCCUGCCCCUGCGAGGAUGUGCAUGUCCUGUGGUCAAUACUAGUGGAGGCCCAUACACAUACCACACCUUCUUUACCACCACCAAAAGCAUGAAUUCAUAUGAAGGCUCCAUUGUUCUCCAUAGUAUAUGAGUGAGAGUGAUUUCGUGCUGCCAAGUAUACAUCCUAUUUAUGUACUUAUGUGUGUAUAUAUACAUUUUUUAUACUGGGGUACAUGUAAAAGGUCUUUGUCCAGUAUUUUUUUUUUCCAGUUACCUGUAAAUGCAAUGCAUUGAAAUAUUUUGCCUUUCUUGUGAUUUA
This is a long non-coding RNA of Pyrus x bretschneideri (Chinese white pear), 587 nucleotides long. RefSeq lists it as uncharacterized. The transcript is spliced from 2 exons. The record is from RefSeq and is a predicted model, not a curated record. NCBI's taxonomy places the organism in Eukaryota, Viridiplantae, Streptophyta, Magnoliopsida, Rosales, Rosaceae.